UACGGAGGGUGCAAGCGUUAAUCGGAAUUACUGGGCGUAAAGCGCACGUAGGUGGUUUGCUAAGCCAGCUGUGAAAUCCCCGGGCUCAACCUGGGCACUGCAGUUGGAACCGGCAAGCUAGAGUAGGGUAGAGGGGUGUGGAAUUCCAGGUGUAGCGGUGAAAUGCGUAGAUAUCUGGAGGAACAUCAGUGGCGAAGGCGACACCCUGGACUCAUACUGACACUGAGGUGCGAAAGCGUGGGGAGCAAACAGG
RNAcentral lists this ribosomal RNA (253 nucleotides) under uncultured bacterium. RNAcentral's name for it is "partial 16S ribosomal RNA". It matches the Rfam family "Bacterial small subunit ribosomal RNA", at positions 524 to 776 of the family's 1533-position model. The record is from RNAcentral.